This 492-nucleotide ribosomal RNA is filed under the name uncultured bacterium. Its description in RNAcentral is "partial 16S ribosomal RNA". It matches the Rfam family "Bacterial small subunit ribosomal RNA", at positions 29 to 507 of the family's 1533-position model. The record is from RNAcentral.
AGUGAACGCUGGCGGUAGGCCUAACACAUGCAAGUCGAACGGCAGCACAGUAAGAGCUUGCUCUUACGGGUGGCGAGUGGCGGACGGGUGAGGAAUACAUCGGAAUCUACUUUUUCGUGGGGGAUAACGUAGGGAGACUUACGCUAAUACCGCAUACGACCUACGGGUGAAAGCAGGGGAUCUUCGGACCUUGCGCGAUUGAAUGAGCCGAUGUCGGAUUAGCUAGUUGGCGGGGUAAAGGCCCCCCAAGGCGACGAUCCGUAGCUGGUCUGAGAGGAUGAUCAGCCACACUGGAACUGAGACACGGUCCAGACUCCUACGGGAGGCAGCAGUGGGGAAUAUUGGACAAUGGGCGCAAGCCUGAUCCAGCCAUACCGCGUGGGUGAAGAAGGCCUUCGGGUUGUAAAGCCCUUUUGUUGGGAAAGAAAAGCAGCAGGUUAAUACCCCGCUGUUCUGACGGUACCCAAAGAAUAAGCACCGGCUAACUUCGUG